ACUAAGCGUACACGGUGGAUGCCCUGGCAGUCAGAGGCGAUGAAGGACGUGCUAAUCUGCGAUAAGCGUCGGUAAGGUGAUAUGAACCGUUAUAACCGGCGAUUUCCGAAUGGGGAAACCCAGUGUGAUUCGUCACACUAUCAUUAACUGAAUCCAUAGGUUAAUGAGGCGAACCGGGGGAACUGAAACAUCUAAGUACCCCGAGGAAAAGAAAUCAACCGAGAUUCCCCCAGUAGCGGCGAGCGAACGGGGAGCAGCCCAGAGCCUGAAUCAGUGUGUGUGUUAGUGGAAGCGUCUGGAAAGGCGCGCGAUACAGGGUGACAGCCCCGUACACAAAAAUGCACAUGCUGUGAGCUCGAUGAGUAGGGCGGGACACGUGGUAUCCUGUCUGAAUAUGGGGGGACCAUCCUCCAAGGCUAAAUACUCCUGACUGACCGAUAGUGAACCAGUACCGUGAGGGAAAGGCGAAAAGAACCCCGGCGAGGGGAGUGAAAAAGAACCUGAAACCGUGUACGUACAAGCAGUGGGAGCACGCUUAGGCGUGUGACUGCGUACCUUUUGUAUAAUGGGUCAGCGACUUAUAUUCUGUAGCAAGGUUAACCGAAUAGGGGAGCCGAAGGGAAACCGAGUCUUAACUGGGCGUUAAGUUGCAGGGUAUAGACCCGAAACCCGGUGAUCUAGCCAUGGGCAGGUUGAAGGUUGGGUAACACUAACUGGAGGACCGAACCGACUAAUGUUGAAAAAUUAGCGGAUGACUUGUGGCUGGGGGUGAAAGGCCAAUCAAACCGGGAGAUAGCUGGUUCUCCCCGAAAGCUAUUUAGGUAGCGCCUCGUGAAUUCAUCUCCGGGGGUAGAGCACUGUUUCGGCAAGGGGGUCAUCCCGACUUACCAACCCGAUGCAAACUGCGAAUACCGGAGAAUGUUAUCACGGGAGACACACGGCGGGUGCUAACGUCCGUCGUGAAGAGGGAAACAACCCAGACCGCCAGCUAAGGUCCCAAAGUCAUGGUUAAGUGGGAAACGAUGUGGGAAGGCCCAGACAGCCAGGAUGUUGGCUUAGAAGCAGCCAUCAUUUAAAGAAAGCGUAAUAGCUCACUGGUCGAGUCGGCCUGCGCGGAAGAUGUAACGGGGCUAAACCAUGCACCGAAGCUGCGGCAGCGACGCUGAUGCGUUGUUGGGUAGGGGAGCGUUCUGUAAGCCUGUGAAGGUGUGCUGUGAGGCAUGCUGGAGGUAUCAGAAGUGCGAAUGCUGACAUAAGUAACGAUAAAGCGGGUGAAAAGCCCGCUCGCCGGAAGACCAAGGGUUCCUGUCCAACGUUAAUCGGGGCAGGGUGAGUCGACCCCUAAGGCGAGGCCGAAAGGCGUAGUCGAUGGGAAACAGGUUAAUAUUCCUGUACUUGGUGUUACUGCGAAGGGGGGACGGAGAAGGCUAUGUUGGCCGGGCGACGGUUGUCCCGGUUUAAGCGUGUAGGCUGGUUUUCCAGGCAAAUCCGGAAAAUCAAGGCUGAGGCGUGAUGACGAGGCACUACGGUGCUGAAGCAACAAAUGCCCUGCUUCCAGGAAAAGCCUCUAAGCAUCAGGUAACAUCAAAUCGUACCCCAAACCGACACAGGUGGUCAGGUAGAGAAUACCAAGGCGCUUGAGAGAACUCGGGUGAAGGAACUAGGCAAAAUGGUGCCGUAACUUCGGGAGAAGGCACGCUGAUAUGUAGGUGAAGCGACUUGCUCGUGGAGCUGAAAUCAGUCGAAGAUACCAGCUGGCUGCAACUGUUUAUUAAAAACACAGCACUGUGCAAACACGAAAGUGGACGUAUACGGUGUGACGCCUGCCCGGUGCCGGAAGGUUAAUUUAUGGGGUCAGCGCAAGCGAAGCUCUUGAUCGAAGCCCCGGUAAACGGCGGCCGUAACUAUAACGGUCCUAAGGUAGCGAAAUUCCUUGUCGGGUAAGUUCCGACCUGCACGAAUGGCGUAAUGAUGGCCAGGCUGUCUCCACCCGAGACUCAGUGAAAUUGAACUCGCUGUGAAGAUGCAGUGUACCCGCGGCAAGACGGAAAGACCCCGUGAACCUUUACUAUAGCUUGACACUGAACAUUGAGCCUUGAUGUGUAGGAUAGGUGGGAGGCUUUGAAGUGUGGACGCCAGUCUGCAUGGAGCCGACCUUGAAAUACCACCCUUUAAUGUUUGAUGUUCUAACGUGGACCCGUAAUCCGGGUUGCGGACAGUGUCUGGUGGGUAGUUUGACUGGGGCGGUCUCCUCCUAAAGAGUAACGGAGGAGCACGAAGGUUGGCUAAUCCUGGUCGGACAUCAGGAGGUUAGUGCAAUGGCAUAAGCCAGCUUGACUGCGAGCGUGACGGCGCGAGCAGGUGCGAAAGCAGGUCAUAGUGAUCCGGUGGUUCUGAAUGGAAGGGCCAUCGCUCAACGGAUAAAAGGUACUCCGGGGAUAACAGGCUGAUACCGCCCAAGAGUUCAUAUCGACGGCGGUGUUUGGCACCUCGAUGUCGGCUCAUCACAUCCUGGGGCUGAAGUAGGUCCCAAGGGUAUGGCUGUUCGCCAUUUAAAGUGGUACGCGAGCUGGGUUUAGAACGUCGUGAGACAGUUCGGUCCCUAUCUGCCGUGGGCGCUGGAGAAUUGAGGGGGGCUGCUCCUAGUACGAGAGGACCGGAGUGGACGCAUCACUGGUGUUCGGGUUGUCAUGCCAAUGGCACUGCCCGGUAGCUAAAUGCGGAAGAGAUAAGUGCUGAAAGCAUCUAAGCACGAAACUUGCCCCGAGAUGAGUUCUCCCUGACUCCUUGAGAGUCCUGAAGGAACGUUGAAGACGACGACGUUGAUAGGCCGGGUGUGUAAGCGCAGCGAUGCGUUGAGCUAACCGGUACUAAUGAACCGUGAGGCUUAACC
This 2893-nucleotide ribosomal RNA is filed under the name Escherichia coli. RNAcentral describes it as "bacterial LSU rRNA". It matches the Rfam family "Bacterial large subunit ribosomal RNA". Lineage: Bacteria; Pseudomonadati; Pseudomonadota; Gammaproteobacteria; Enterobacterales; Enterobacteriaceae. The record is from RNAcentral.